This 440-nucleotide ribosomal RNA is filed under the name uncultured bacterium. Its description in RNAcentral is "partial 16S ribosomal RNA". It matches the Rfam family "Bacterial small subunit ribosomal RNA", at positions 338 to 795 of the family's 1533-position model. The record is from RNAcentral.
CCUACGGGAGGCAGCAGUGGGGAAUAUUGCACAAUGGGCGGAAGCCUGAUGCAGCGACGCCGCGUGAGUGAAGAAGUAUUUCGGGAUGUAAAGCUCGAUCAGCAGGGGAAAAAAUGACGGUACCUGACUAAGAAGCACCGGCUAACUACGUGCCAGCAGCCGCGGUAAUACGGAGGGUGCAAGCGUUAUCCGGAUUCACUGGGUGGAAAGGGUGCGUAGGCGGUUUGGCAAGUCUGAAGUGAAAGCCAGAGGCUCAACCAGUGGACUGCUGUUGAAACUGUAAAACUAGAGUGCGGGAGAGGUAAGCGGAAUUCCUGGUGUAGCGGUGAAAUGCGUAGAUAUCAGGAGGAACACCGGUGGCGAAGGCGGCUUACUGGGCUGUAACUGACGUUGAGGCACGAAAGCGUGGGGAGCAAACAGGAUUAGAUACCCGGGUAGUC